RNAcentral lists this ribosomal RNA (435 nucleotides) under uncultured bacterium. Its description in RNAcentral is "partial 16S ribosomal RNA". It matches the Rfam family "Bacterial small subunit ribosomal RNA", at positions 29 to 507 of the family's 1533-position model. The record is from RNAcentral.
AGCGAACGCUGGCGGCAGGCUUAACACAUGCAAGUCGAGCGGGCACCUUCGGGUGUCAGCGGCAGACGGGUGAGUAACACGUGGGAACGUACCCUUCGGUUCGGAAUAACGCUGGGAAACUAGCGCUAAUACCGGAUACGCCCUUAUGGGGAAAGGUUUACUGCCGAAGGAUCGGCCCGCGUCUGAUUAGCUAGUUGGUGGGGUAACGGCCUACCAAGGCGACGAUCAGUAGCUGGUCUGAGAGGAUGAUCAGCCACACUGGGACUGAGACACGGCCCAGACUCCUACGGGAGGCAGCAGUGGGGAAUAUUGGACAAUGGGCGCAAGCCUGAUCCAGCCAUGCCGCGUGAGUGAUGAAGGCCUUAGGGUUGUAAAGCUCUUUUGCCCGGGACGAUAAUGACGGUACCGGAAGAAUAAGCCCCGGCUAACUUCGUG